GGCCGCCUGGCGAAAUGGCAUCGCGUCUGACUACGAUACAAAGUGGUUCAUACGGUUGUAAUCAGGAGAUUGCAGGUUCGACCCCUGCGGUGGUCA
Transfer RNA from Termitomyces sp. J132, 96 nucleotides. It matches the Rfam family "tRNA". From Rfam's summary of the family: Transfer RNA (tRNA) molecules are approximately 80 nucleotides in length. Lineage: Eukaryota; Fungi; Basidiomycota; Agaricomycetes; Agaricales; Lyophyllaceae. The record is from Rfam.